AAAAAAAAAAAAAAAAAAAAAGAGGUGCAACACGAGGACUUCCCAAGAGGUCACCCAUCCUAGUACUACUCCCGCCCAAGCACGCUUAACUGCGGAGUUCUGAUGGGAUCCGGUGCAUUAGUGCUGGUAUGAUCGCACCUAUUAUAAUAUGCGCACAUAAUUAUCAUAUGCAUGUCUUGCGACGUAGGGUAAGUCGAGCUGCGAAUCCCUGCGGGGUCCGUGCGAGCUUGCCUAAAAUGAGGUCAUUGAGACUCGCUUUAACUAAACUGUGCAAGAUAGCGCCGUUUAAAGAACGAGGGUAAGCAAGACGUAAAAAAAAAAAAAUAGGUGCAACACGAGGACUUCCCAGGAGGUCACCCAUCCUGGUACUACUCUCGCCCAAGCACGCUUAACUGCGGAGUUCUGAUGGGAUUCGGUGCAUUAGUGCUGGUAUGAUCGCACCUAUUAAAAUAUGCGCACAUAAUUAUCAUAUGCAUGUCUCGCGACGUAGGGUAAGUCGAGCUGCGAAUCCCUGCGGGGCCCGUGCGAACUUGCCUAAAAUGAGGUCAUUGAGACUCGCUUUAGCUAAACUAUUCAAGAUAGCGCCGUUUAAAGAACGAGGGUAAGCACGACGUAAAAAAAUAAAAAAAAAAUAAAAAAUAAAAAAUAAAAAAUAAAAAGAGGUGCAACACGAGGACUUCCCAGGAGGUCACCCAUCCUAGUACUACUCUCGCCCAAACACGCUUAACUGCGGAGUUCUGAUGGGAUCCGGUGAAUUAGUGCUGGUAUGAUCGCACCUAUUAAAAUAUGCGCACAUAAUUAUCAUAUGCAUGUCUCGCGACGUAGGGUAAGUCGAGUUGCAAAUCCCUGCGGGGCCCGUGGGAGCUUGCCUAAAAUCAGGUCAUUCAGACUCGCUUUAACUAAACUGUGCAAGAUAGCGCCGUUUAAAGAACGAGGGUAAGCACGACGUAAA
This is a non-coding RNA of Arachis ipaensis, 952 nucleotides long. The record is from RefSeq and is a predicted model, not a curated record. NCBI's taxonomy places the organism in Eukaryota, Viridiplantae, Streptophyta, Magnoliopsida, Fabales, Fabaceae.